AAGAAAUUAGUUAAUCAAUAACACUACUUUGUCAAAGUAGAAUAAUGAGCUAACACCUCAUAUUUCUUU
RNAcentral lists this transfer RNA (69 nucleotides) under Allobates tinae. RNAcentral describes it as "tRNA-Asp". The record is from RNAcentral. Lineage: Eukaryota; Metazoa; Chordata; Amphibia; Anura; Aromobatidae.